This 87-nucleotide transfer RNA is filed under the name Sebaldella sp. RNAcentral's name for it is "tRNA-Leu". It matches the Rfam family "tRNA". Rfam says of the family: Transfer RNA (tRNA) molecules are approximately 80 nucleotides in length. Their secondary structure includes four short double-helical elements and three loops (D, anti-codon, and T loops). Lineage: Bacteria; Fusobacteriati; Fusobacteriota; Fusobacteriia; Fusobacteriales; Leptotrichiaceae. The record is from RNAcentral.
GCCGAAGUGGUGGAAUUGGUAGACGCAUCAGACUCAAAAUCUGACGGGCAAUAGCCCUUGCGGGUUCGAUUCCCGCCUUCGGCACCA